This 478-nucleotide ribosomal RNA is filed under the name uncultured bacterium. RNAcentral describes it as "partial 16S ribosomal RNA". It matches the Rfam family "Bacterial small subunit ribosomal RNA", at positions 28 to 523 of the family's 1533-position model. The record is from RNAcentral.
GACGAACGCUGGCGGCGUGCUUAACACAUGCAAGUCGAACGGUAAGGCCCUUCGGGGUACACGAGUGGCGAACGGGUGAGUAACACGUGGGUGAUCUGCCCUGCACUUCGGGAUAAGCCUGGGACACUGGGUCUAAUACCGGAUAGGACCACUGCCUGCAUGGGUGGUGGUGGCAAGCUUUUGCGGUGUGGGAUGGGCCCGCGACCUAUCAGCUUGUUGGUGGGGUGAUGGCCUACCAAGGCGACGACGGGUAGCCGGCCUGAGAGGGUGACCGGCAACACUGGGACUGAGAUACGGCCCAGACUCCUACGGGAGGCAGCAGUGGUGAAUAUUGCACAGUGGGCGCAAGCCUGAUGCGUCGACGCCGCGUGAGGGAUGACGGCCUUCGGGUUGUAAACCUCUUUCAGCACCGACGAAGCGCAAGUGACGGUAGGUGCAGAAGAAGGACCGGCCAACUACGUGCCAGCCGCCGCGGUAA